GGGCAAAUAGUGUAGUUGGUUAUCGCGCCCGCUUCGCAUCGCGUUGAAUUACGUAAUUGAUAUGCGGGAGGUGCUGGGUUCAAUUCCCAGUUUGUCCA
Molecule: non-coding RNA, 98 nt
Organism: Mycena filopes
Lineage: Eukaryota; Fungi; Basidiomycota; Agaricomycetes; Agaricales; Mycenaceae
Source: the annotation of a GenBank genome assembly